AUUGAACGCUGGCGGCAGGCCUAACACAUUCAAGUCGAGCGGAGCGGCGGACGGGUGAGUAAUGCCUAGGAAUCUGCCUGGUAGUGGGGGAUAACUCCCGGCAACGGGCGCUAAUACCGCAUACUAUCAGAUGAGCCUAGGUCGGAUUAGCUAGUUGGUGGGGUAAAGGCCUACCAAGGCGACGAUCCCUAACUGGUCUGAGAGGAUGAUCAGUCACACUGAAACUGAGACAGGGUCCAGACUCCUACGGGAGGCAGCAGUGGGGAAUAUUGGCGAAUGGGCGAAAGCCUGAUCCAGCCAUGCCGCGUGUGUGAAGAAGGUCUUCGGAUUUUAAAGCACUUUAAGUUGGGAGGCGUUACAGACAGAGUAAGCGCCGGCUAACUUCGUGCCAGCAGCAGCGGUAAUUC
Molecule: ribosomal RNA, 407 nt
Filed under: uncultured bacterium
Lineage: Bacteria
Description: partial 16S ribosomal RNA
Rfam family: Bacterial small subunit ribosomal RNA
Source: RNAcentral